Cladobotryum mycophilum is the source of this 113-nucleotide non-coding RNA. The record is from the annotation of a GenBank genome assembly. NCBI's taxonomy places the organism in Eukaryota, Fungi, Ascomycota, Sordariomycetes, Hypocreales, Hypocreaceae.
UGACACCUGUGGGAUUCGAACCCACGCCUAUUACUAGACCGCGAAACUGACCAAUCCGAAUUGCUCCGAAUAGAACCUGAACACGGCGCCUUAGACCACUCGGCCAAAGUGCC